CAUCCCUAGUCUAGAAAUGCCCCAGAGUCUCUGAUGAAAUGAAUCACAAAUGAUGCUGGGAGCAGGAAACAAUUUUUUAGCCAGGACCAGCAAUAGAAUAUGUUCAUUUGUUAUGAAUGAAACCAUUUCUCAUAUUUUGCAAGUUUUAUGUCCUUAUCACAUCUACUUCAAUACAGGUGUGCUCUUAUCCAAAAAUACUUACUAUGCCUUCCUAUAGUUAGUUCAGAUUAUAAACAAUGGGGUUAUUACCUGCAGCUCUACAAUAUAAGUGGUGGGGUAGUAAAGGUGCAAGAAUAUUUUCAUUUCAGAAGAUUCUACACAAAGAAUUUUGGAGAAGGAAAGUGAUUUUAAAUAACAGAGCUAAAAGAAUAAUAUCAGAAACAGAACUUACAUCCUAGAGAUGUUGGGGAGAUUGGAAAAAGCAUCACUUGGAAUUGUUCUUAGAUGAGUCUCCAUAAACCUCCUAUAAAAAUAAAAGUUUGGCAGUUAAUAUCCUUUGAUUAAAAGCUCUAUUAAAUCCAGAAAAAAACUUCAAUCUUCCUUCCAUAAAAUCUUUCAAAAAGAAGAACCCAAAGUCUGAGGUCAUGUUCAUUGCAAACAUACUAUCAAUAUUUGCAAAGAUAUAAAAGAACGCAAUCACAUUUUCGCUAAAUGAAAUGUUUUUAAAAUGGCAAGAGAAUGUUUCAGAAAAACAUUUCUGGUCUCAUAGGGUGACAUUUAGUUUGCAUUUCUUAGUUUCAUAGGUUGGAAAGUUGGUUUGAAGCUUUUAAAACUCUCUUUCUGUUUUGAUACUUGCACCAAAGGUUUAGCCUCUAUGUUCCUGAAAGACUUUACAUUUCAUGUAUCAAGAAAAUGAAACCUGGACUACUGGUAAGAAACUUACUGGACUGCUUGUGCAGAACUUAACAUUUUUGCUUUCCCCUGCCCCAAACAUCUGUCAACCAGGAAUGUAAAAAGUUUCUUGCUCAAAAAUCAAGUACUACAGACACUCACCUAGCAACUGUGAGUUGUUACUUUAAAGACACAAGAUUGGCGGCUUAGGCCAGGCAUAAGAUGGUAAAACUAGAAUCAGCCCUGUAAACUGAGCAAGUAGCAUUAAUUGCAUUGCAAAUAAUGAUGUUAAUUGCCCUUAGUAUAUUCUGUUGUAACACAGUAAUUUUUUCUUAUUUAGACUGCACUUUAAAAAAUCUAUAAAUAGUAAUCCAUUAAAAUACACAAUUUACAGGUGGCUUAAAACAAGGCAUAAGUAAUAAUAAUAGAAAUAAAAAACAAGUUCACAAAAAUACUCCACUAAUAAACAAAGCCAUAAUUACAUCUCAGAAGCCAGGAGUUUCUCACUUCCCCUUGUGCACUUAAGUCAGAAUUAUAGCAUAGCUGAUUUUUUUUUUUCAUUGAAUACUAAAUACAAUUAGAGACAAGUACUAAGGAGUUACAGAAAAAUUCAAGUGAAACUGUUCAUAAUCCUAGUUCUCUUUCAACUGAACAUAUGCACAAGAAUAGAAUCUGGCCGGUGACUUACAGAAGUGAUAUAGAGAAUAUAAGGAAGUUAACAAAAAAAUUUGGUAGGUAUUUCAUUUCUUACAUGUCACCAUUUUCAAACACGUGAUAUUGAUGAAUAUCAGAGCUACAUAGCAACCAGGAACAGAGAAACACCAAGAGAUGUAGAGGCUAUUUCACUUGACUGUGGCUACUUCAUUUCUAUUACUGCCUUGUGUUACAGCAAAAAAGUCCAGGGGAAAAUGUAGGAUUUAUACACUCCCUUCUGUUACACGUUUUCAUCUGAUAACUAGCACUAACAGCAUCCAUAAUGUAGCCAAAAUACUAUUAGAGUGAGAACUUAUAGGUGUAAAUGUGAAAAUUUAAAGAAGAAAAAAUUCUAUUGCUCUUUGGCUUGCUUAUUAAAUCACUUGAAAGCUUUAUUUCUCAUUGCAGAUGAA
This is a long non-coding RNA of Pezoporus flaviventris, 1937 nucleotides long. RefSeq lists it as uncharacterized. NCBI's taxonomy places the organism in Eukaryota, Metazoa, Chordata, Aves, Psittaciformes, Psittacidae. The transcript has 2 exons. The record is from RefSeq and is a predicted model, not a curated record.